CAAUCUGAGGGAAUGUCAUAGGCGACCCCAUUGAUCGCCAGGGUUGAUUCGGCUGAUCUGGCUGGCUAGGCGGGUGUCCCCUUCCUCCCUCACCGCUCCAUGUGCGUCCCUCCCGAAGCUGCGCGCUCGGUGGAAGAGGACGACCAUCCCAGAUAGAAGGAGUGUACCGUUCUUCGGUCAAGGGUAUACGAUAGCUGCGCUCCCCUGCUAGAACCUCCAAGCUCAAGGCGAAGGGUCGAGAGAGUAUAUUUCAUGUGGAUAAUGUUAUGGCAAAGCUGGGGACAGCAUUUG
Molecule: small nuclear RNA, 291 nt
Filed under: Pogona vitticeps (central bearded dragon)
Lineage: Eukaryota; Metazoa; Chordata; Lepidosauria; Squamata; Agamidae
Description: 7SK RNA (ENSPVIG00000010275.1)
Rfam family: 7SK RNA
About the family: 7SK was discovered as an abundant small nuclear RNA in the mid-70s but a possible function has only recently been suggested. Two independent studies have found that 7SK RNA binds the CDK9/cyclin T complex (known as elongation factor P-TEFb).
Source: RNAcentral